CUUUGGUUCUAUUUUGUUGGUUUCUAGGACCAAAGUAAUGAUUAAUAGGGAUAGUUGGGGGCAUUAGUAUUUAAUUGUCAGAGGUGAAAUUCUUGGAUUUAUGAAAGACUAACUUCUGCGAAAGCAUUUGCCAAGGAUGUUUUCAUUAAUCAAGAACGAAAGUUAGGGGAUCCAAGACGAUCAGAUACCGUCGUAGUCUUAACCAUAAACUAUGCCGACUAGGGAUUGGACAAUGUCUUUUUGACGUGUUCAGCACCUUGAGAGAAAUCAAAGUUUUUGGGUUCCGGGGGGAGUAUGGUCGCAAGGCUGAAACUUAAAGGAAUUGACGGAAGGGCACCACCAGGAGUGGAGAUUACGGCUUAAUUUGACUCAACACGGGGAAACUCACCA
This 390-nucleotide ribosomal RNA is filed under the name fungal sp. Its description in RNAcentral is "SSU rRNA". It matches the Rfam family "Eukaryotic small subunit ribosomal RNA", at positions 828 to 1220 of the family's 1831-position model. The record is from RNAcentral. Lineage: Eukaryota; Fungi.